RNAcentral lists this unclassified non-coding RNA (338 nucleotides) under soil metagenome. RNAcentral's name for it is "partial contains 5.8S ribosomal RNA, internal transcribed spacer 2, and large subunit ribosomal RNA". The stretch from base 1 to 120 matches the Rfam family "5.8S ribosomal RNA", at positions 35 to 154 of the family's 154-position model. The record is from RNAcentral.
GACGAAGAACGUAGUGAAAUGCGAUAAGUAAUGUGAAUUGCAGAAUUCAGUGAAUCAUCGAAUCUUUGAACGCACAUUGCGCCCGGUAGUAUUCUGCCGGGCAUGCCUGUUCGAGCGUCAUUUCAACCAUCAAGCCCCAGCGCUUGUGUUGGGGGCCUGCGGCUGCCGCAGCCCCCUAAAAGCAGUGGCGGGCUCGCUAUCACACCGAGUGCAGUAGUUCAUCUUCUCUCCGGUCUUGUGAGGCGGGUUCCGGCCGUGAAACACCCCACUACAUUCAAGGUUGACCUCGGAUCAGGUAGGAAUACCCGCUGAACUUAAGCAUAUCAAUAAGCGGAGGA